Pelobates cultripes (western spadefoot toad) is the source of this 955-nucleotide non-coding RNA. The record is from the annotation of a GenBank genome assembly. NCBI's taxonomy places the organism in Eukaryota, Metazoa, Chordata, Amphibia, Anura, Pelobatidae.
CCUGGACACACCCUAUUGCAGAUUGCGCUCAGUCAAGGCUGUAUAAAAUUGCCAUUCCUAAAGCACAAUGGGAACUUUAUCACAGAAUACUGGAAAGUCCUGUGUUCUCUCCAGGCAAGUGUCAAACUGUUCAAAAUGGCUUGACUAUAUUGGGACAGUACAAGGGGACUCUGAGCACCAUAACCACUAACCACUAGAAAGCACUGUAAUAAAUAUGGGCUUAGCGUGCCCCUAUAAAUUAAUAUUUGCAUUGGUUGUCUUCUUUAAAUAUCUUGGCAUGUUAGUGAAGAUUCAUCUAAAUUCCAAAAAUAAGUACUCUGUUCAGAAACUAAGCCUAUGGCAAAGAAAUAGAGUGUAAGAAAAAUGCUAAUACCCCAUUUGUUCCGGGAGUGGAACAGGACUCUGUGACUUGACCACACAAGUGUCCACCUUUCCUGCCCAGUUUACUUACCCUCUACUCUGUUUGACCUGUGAAUUUUGCGAUUUAUAAUUUUAAUUUUGUUUUGCCAAAUUAAUUUUUGAAAAUGGCACUGCUUAUAUGAUGCUGUCAACGGGCACAGCUGCAAUUUAAUAUUACAUUGUGAAGCUUCUGCCUUAUGUGGGCGUAUUUGUUAUUCACCGUUUUACUGUCCAUUCCCCCCGAUCCUCCCCAUUCCCCAUCGGUUAAGGGGGUAUAUAAAUCUCUCUCUAGAGGCUUGGUUCAUAAAUAUUUGUCAAUCACUCCCUGUCACUAACAACAGCUUUGCCUUACAAAAUUUGUCGAUCCGAACCAGUUUAGCUGGACCAAGUUUAUAAGGGUUGCUCAUAUAUUUUAUAUCGGUUAUUUCGCUCUCAUUCCCAUAAGAGUGGUGUCUAUUUUACUUCCUUCAUUUGCCGGUUUUAUUGUGUUUAUAAUUCUGACCACCUAUACAUGUUCUUCAUGUUCAUUUAUUUCUAAAAAUAAAUAAAUGUGCAG